UCGCCCGUUCGGGGAGCCGUGGUGAACGAGGUGCUGCACGGCUGUCGUCAGCUCGUGUCGUGAGAUGUUGGGUUAAGUCCCACAACGAGCGCAACCCUCGUCGCUAGUUAAUUUCCCUAGCGAGACCGCCUCGCAAAACGAGGAGGAAGGUGGGGAUGGCGUCAAGUCAGCAUGGCCUUUAUACCCUGGGCGACACACACGCUACAAUGGGUGGUACAGUAGGUAGCGAAGGAGCGAUCCGGAGCAAAUCUUUAAAACCAUCCUCAGUACGGAUUGCAGGCUGAAACCCGCCUGCAUGAAGCCGGAGUUGCUAGUAACCGCAUAUCAGAAUGGUGCGGUGAAUACGUUCUCGGGCCUU
This 358-nucleotide ribosomal RNA is filed under the name uncultured Chloroflexota bacterium. Its description in RNAcentral is "bacterial SSU rRNA". It matches the Rfam family "Bacterial small subunit ribosomal RNA", at positions 1007 to 1382 of the family's 1533-position model. Lineage: Bacteria; Bacillati; Chloroflexota. The record is from RNAcentral.